Molecule: long non-coding RNA, 335 nt
Filed under: Cricetulus griseus (Chinese hamster)
Lineage: Eukaryota; Metazoa; Chordata; Mammalia; Rodentia; Cricetidae
Description: Nuclear RNase P (ENSCGRG00015029531.1)
Rfam family: Nuclear RNase P
About the family: Ribonuclease P (RNase P) is a ubiquitous endoribonuclease, found in archaea, bacteria and eukarya as well as chloroplasts and mitochondria. Its best characterised activity is the generation of mature 5'-ends of tRNAs by cleaving the 5'-leader elements of precursor-tRNAs. Cellular RNase Ps are ribonucleoproteins.
Source: RNAcentral
GGCAGAGGAAGCUCAUCAGUGGGCCAUGUGCUGAGUCAUUCUCUGCCCCUGGAAAGGUCUGAUACUGGGGCAUCCCUUUGCCAUAAUGAGGGUACUCCCUGAGUAGGGAGAUGAGUUACCAGAGAGCACAGUUCCAUUCAUUGGCAGCCUGGGCAGGAGAGGACCAGAGUGGGUGGAUCUCUCUCUCUCUCUCUCUCUCUCUCCCUCUCUCCCUCUCUCUCUCUCCCUCUCUCUCUCUCUCUCUCUCUCUCUCUCUCUCUCUCUCUCUCUCUCUCUCGGAUGUCUCUUUUCUACUAAAAUAUUUUAGUGAAUUUCAAUUUGAAAAUUUCCAAAUU